GAGGGGGGACCCUGGCGGUGCAGGCAGGGGGCGCCGGCGCGGGGCCCGUGAGCAGCCCGGAGAAGGCGGGCGGUGCGGGGGCGGUGGGCGCGGGCGCGGGCGCUCUCCGCCCCACAUCCGGUGACGGCGCGGCCUCAGGCCGCAGGGAGGGCAGGGCCGCAGGGACGACCGGGCCAGCCCCGAGCCGCCGCGCCUCUUCCCGCCCGCCGCCAGCCUCGAGCGCCCCCGCGCCCCCCGCCGCCCGGGCCGCUACGCGGGAGCUGCCGCCGCCGCCUUCGUCUCCGCCCGCUCGGCCAUGGGCGCCGCCGGCUCGUCCGCUCUGGGCCGCCUCGGCCUCCCCGCGCCGCGCCUCCCGGCGCCGUCCCGGCCCGCCUGGCUCGGGGCGGCCGCGCUGGGACUGGCCGCCGUGGCGCUGGGGACGGUCGCCUGGCGCCGCGCGCGCUGCAGGCGGCGCCGGCGGCUGCGGCAGGUGGGCACCGUGGCGCAGCUCUGGAUCUACCCGGUCAAGUCGUGCAAGGGGGUGCCGGUGAGCGCGGCCGAGUGCACGGCCUUGGGGCUGCGCUGCGGCCACCUGCGGGACAGGUUUUGGCUGGUGAUUAAGGAAGAUGGGCACAUGGUCACUGCCCGGCAGGAGCCUCGCCUGGUGCUGGUGUCCAUCACCUAUGAGGGCAACCGCCUGAUCCUCAAGGCCCCGGGCAUGGACCAGCUGGCUUUGCCGAGCGAGCUGCCUUCCUCAAACAAGCUCUGGGACUGCAGGCUCUUUGGUAUGGACAUCAAGGGCAGGGACUGUGGUGACCAGGCAGCUCAGUGGUUCACCAACUUCUUGAAAACAGAGGCUUUCCGGCUGGUCCAGUUUGAGAAGCACAUGAAGGGAAGACCGUCCAAGGACAUUUUCUCUGCUUCGGUGCCGGAUUACCAGGUGGCCUACCCGGACUGCUGCCCGCUCAUGAUCCUGUCGGAAGCCUCGCUCGCGGACCUGAAUACCAGGCUGGAGAAGAAAGUGAAGAUGGACCAGUUCAGACCCAAUAUCGUGGUGACAGGCUGCGAUGCUUUCGAGGAGGAUACUUGGGAUGAACUCCUGAUUGGCAACGUAGAAAUGAAAAAGGUUUUGUCUUGCCCCAGGUGCAUUUUGACCACUGUAGACCCAGAUACCGGAGUGAUAGACCGGAAGGAGCCACUGGAAACCCUGAAGAGCUACCGCCUGUGUGAUCCUUCCGAGAAGGCAAUAUACAAGUCGUCCCCACUUUUUGGGGUCUAUUAUUCAGUGGAGAAAAUUGGCGGCCUGAAAGUCGGUGACCCCGUGUACCAGCUGGUUCAGUGACAUGGCGGCUCUCCCGCUUCCCGUUCGGUCAUAAGAUACUGAUGCAGGGGCCCCAGCCAAAGACAGGGCGAUGUUCUCAGAUCGUGAGGGGAUAAGGAAAUGAAGGUUUCCGGGUCCGGGAGGCCUUCGUAGGAUUUCACCCACAGCAGCGACAGCACCGUCCCGGGCCAUCCUCGGGAACCAGCCUGCGGCCAUCCUCAGCUGGAAAUGAAUCCCCAUUUUCAGCUUUUUGAAGUUAUGCGUGCUCCGAGUGAAUGCAGGAAAAGUAUUCGAGGCCGAAUCAGAAAUAAGAAGAUAAGUAGAUUUUAGGUAAUGAGGACUUUUGAAAUAAAUCACACUGUGAAAUUGUUUUGAAUGUUACUAUGGUGAUUACGCUUCUGGAUCCCUGACGUUAAUAUUGAGCGUUUAAGAAAGCUCCAAGAAUCGCGUUUUAGGGAAUGAGAUCACCGUUUUCUGAGGUGCCUUUUACAGGUUAACACAAAUUCCUGUUGUCGGUCUUGAUGUGGCUGUUGAACCUGUCAACCUUUUGCUCACAGGUUUUGGAAUCGGGUUGUGCGUGUGUAUGGAAGUUAUUUUAUAGAUCUUGUUUUUAUUUUCGAUUAAGCCUCUGUGGAGCCAUCUGGAAGCAAUGUGUGUGUAACUGCCAGAUACACUGCCUGGAAUUCCAAGUAUGAUGAAGAAAAGAUGGGAUUUUAAAAAGAAUGGAAUUUUGAGAGCAGGAGGGAGAGGAGGAAAACAUGAGCAUUUUUUUUUUUUUUUUUUUUUAGGUGCAAAUGAUUUUUUUUUGUAACAGAGAAAUGAACUAUUUUGGUAUGGCUAACCAAAAAUCCUCACCGAAGAAAUAUGUGAACAAAUUAACUGACUUAUAAUUUUGUGGUUUCUUUAAUAUUAAUAAAUGUGAAUCUUAGUUGUA
Mustela lutreola (European mink) is the source of this 2234-nucleotide RNA transcript. It is a transcript of the gene named mitochondrial amidoxime reducing component 2, with no coding region annotated. The transcript has 9 exons. Lineage: Eukaryota; Metazoa; Chordata; Mammalia; Carnivora; Mustelidae. The record is from RefSeq and is a predicted model, not a curated record.